Molecule: ribosomal RNA, 235 nt
Filed under: uncultured bacterium
Lineage: Bacteria
Description: partial 16S ribosomal RNA
Rfam family: Bacterial small subunit ribosomal RNA
Source: RNAcentral
UACGGAGGGGGCUAGCGUUGUUCGGAAUUACUGGGCGUAAAGCGCGCGUAGGCGGACCUGCAAGUCGGGGGGUGAAAGCCCGAGGCUCAACCUCGGAACUGCCUCGAUACUGCGGGUCUCGAGUCCGGGAGAGGUGAGUGGAAUUCCGUAGUGUAGAGGUGAAAUUCGUAGAUAUUAGGAAGAACACCAGUGGCGAAGGCGGCCACCUGGACGGUAACUGACGGCUGAGACGCGA